AUAUUGUGAUAUAUCUCUGGGCCCAGCACCUAGGUGAUGUGACUUCUUCUGCCUGGAUCAUGCCCAUAGAAGGGAGAGUAACUUAAUACCGGGCCUACUACAGACAUGCUGAGAUAUUUCUGCCUGUUGCUUGCCCACAGGAUCCAUAUGCCAUAUUUCUGGGCCCAUCACCUAGAUGAUGGGACUCUCCUCUUCUUUCUGGGACCAGUACACAGUGGGAAUUGUGAUGCAUCGUUUAGCUCAGCAGCUACAUGAUGAGACAUGCCCCAAAAAGGGAUUGUGGCAUAUCUCUGAGCCCAGCACCCAAAUGUUGUGACUCUCCUGCCCGGGCUGUGCCUAGAGAAAAUAUAAUAUGUCACUGGGCCCUACAUGCAAGUGAUCUGAUUCUCCAGCCUGGGCCUUGCCCAUAGGGGAGAUUGAGACAUAUUGCAGGUGAAGAAUUCAGGUGGAUGAUGACUCUAAGACCAGGAUUCAACACACCUAGAAGGCUUUGACUCUGAUACCAGUCACAGAAGGCUCUGUGACUCUUCUACUUUCUCUAGGUCAUGCAAAUGGAGGCGGAUUGUGACAUAUAGAGCCAACAUAACACACAGUCUGCAGGUGGAAUUGGGACGGACUCUCAUGCAUGGAUCCAGUUCAUCAUUGAUAUUGUGACUCAUGUACUUGGAUGCCACUCACAGGAGGUGUUGACACUUUUACCUGAAGCUGGGACAUGUGUGGAAUUGUGAAUCUUAGCCCUAGAUCUUCCCAUAAGUAUGAUUGUGACAUAUACUUUUGCCUAGCACCUGAGUGAUUUUACUUCCCUGCCUGGGCCCAGAUCUCAGAAGAGAUUGUGAUGUGACUCUCUUGCUUGAGCCCUACCCACAGAGGGUAUUGUGAAAUUUCACUGGGCCUAGCACUUAGGUCAUGUGACUCUUAUCUUUAGCCUGGGCCCUGUCCACAAAGUCAUUGUGAGAUGUCACUGAGCCCACUACCUCUGUGAUGUGACAGUACUGCCUGGGCCCUGCCCACAGUAGGUAUUGUGAAAUACUUCUGAACUCAUUACCUAGGUGAUGUAACACUCCUCUGUUGCCUGCAUUCUGCACCCCCCAAAAAUGAACUGUGACAUACCACAGGCCCACUGGCCUCAGGGGAGAUUGAAACAUUGUACUGAGUCCAGGUUGCAGGUGAUGUGACCCUCUAUCUUAGGCUCUGCCCACAGGAGGUAUUGUGAUAUAUCUCUGUGGUCAUAAUUUAGGUGCUGUGACUCUUCUAUUUUCUCUAGGUCAUGCAAAUGGAGGGGGAUUGUGACAUAUCAUAGAGCCAACACAAAAAUAAUGUAAAACUCCUGCCUGAGCCAUGCCCAUAGAAGGCAUUGUGACAUAUCACCAGUCACAGCACUCAGGUGAUGUAACUCUCUUUCCUGAGCCCUGCCUGCAAGGCAUAUUUUAACAUAUCUUUAGUCUAGAAUUUAAAAUAUGUAACUCUCUUAGCUUGUUUCUUUUCCACAGGUGGGAUUUUGACAUAUAACUACACCCAGCACAUGGGUGAAGCAUCUUGUAUGCUCAUCCUGCCAAAAGUUAUGAGUGUCACCCUCACACAUGGACAGAGACCUCUGGUUAGGUCUCUUGUACAUGAACAAGAAUCUUGUACAUGGACACAGUCCACAGUUGGAAUGUCAUAUGUAGAUCCAGCCACAGGUGUGAUGUUGACCUAUUUAUAAAGUUAGCUCACAGGCACAUUGAUUACUCUCAUACCUGGAUCCGGCCAAUAAAAGAUAUGUUGACUAUUAUAGCUAGGCUUGAGGAAACUGGUAGGGUCCUUGGUCUCCUACCUGCAUGAGACUCACAGAAGAUUAUUACAGUUAAUGGAAAUUACAUGAAGCCCUCUGGCAGUACAAAGUUUUAUCACAGGCCCAGCACACAGGUGAGAUUGUGACUUUAAUAUACAAACAAAGCUAACAGUUAGUAUUGUCACCUUCACAUAUAAACAGAGUCCACUGGUAAGGUUCUAAAUCUCACACAUCAAAAAAAUUCACUGUUGGAAUUGUGACUGUGAUAUGUGAGUCUGCCCAUAGGUGGAACGCUGACUCAUUUCUGGAUUCAGCUUAGAAAAAUGGUGAUGACUGUUUCACCUGGACUCAGCCAAAUGGAGAGAUGUUGACUCUUUUAACUAGGUGUGAUGGUUAAUACUGAGUGUCAAUUAGAUUGGAUUGAAGGAUACAAUGUAUUAAUCCUGGGUGUGUCUGUGAGGGUGUUGCCAAAGGAGAUUAACAAUUGAGUCAGUGGGCUGGAAAAGGCAGACCCACCCUUAAUCUGGAUGGGCACAAUCUAAUCAGCUGCCAGCAUGGCUAGAAUAUAAGCAAGCAGAAAAAUGUGAAAAGAGAGACUGGCCUAGUCUCCCAGCCUGCAUCUUUCUCCUGUGCUGGAUGCUUCCUGCCCUUGAAUAUCAGAUUCCAAGUUCUUCAUUUUUGGGACUCGGAGUGGCUCUCCUUCAUUCUCAGCCUGCAGACGGUCUAUUGUGGGAUCUUGUGAUUGUGUGAGUUAAUACUUAAUAAACUCCCCUUUAUAUAUAUAUUUUAUAUAUAUAUAUACAUAUAUUCCAUUAAUUAUGUCCCUCUAGAGAACCCUGGCUAAUACAGAUUUUGGUACCAGGAGUGGUUCUAGAGGAACAGAAUAUUAAGGAUGGAAUUCUUUUUUGAUUCUGGGGUUUCUGGAGUUGGCUUCUUAAUAUGAUUAGACCCAAAAAUGCUAAAGACUCUACUUCUAAUAGUAUGGAGAACACUGAUAGCCCUUGGGAUGAACUGUUUAAGAAGUUAUGGAAAAUAAAUGCAUUUGACACUCUUGAUUUAUC
Long non-coding RNA from Pongo pygmaeus (Bornean orangutan), 2832 nucleotides. RefSeq lists it as uncharacterized. Lineage: Eukaryota; Metazoa; Chordata; Mammalia; Primates; Hominidae. The transcript is spliced from 3 exons. The record is from RefSeq and is a predicted model, not a curated record.